RNAcentral lists this ribosomal RNA (465 nucleotides) under uncultured Klebsiella sp. Its description in RNAcentral is "bacterial SSU rRNA". It matches the Rfam family "Bacterial small subunit ribosomal RNA", at positions 338 to 795 of the family's 1533-position model. Lineage: Bacteria; Pseudomonadati; Pseudomonadota; Gammaproteobacteria; Enterobacterales; Enterobacteriaceae. The record is from RNAcentral.
CCUACGGGCGGCAGCAGUGGGGAAUAUUGCACAAUAGGCGCAAGCCUGAUGCAGCCAUGCCGCGUGUGUGAAGAAGGCCUUCGGGUUGUAAAGCACUUUCAGCGGGGAGGAAGGCGUUAAGGUUAAUAACCUUGGCGAUUGACGUUACCCGCAGAAGAAGCACCGGCUAACUCCGUGCCAGCAGCCGCGGUAAUACGGAGGGUGCAAGCGUUAAUCGGAAUUACUGGGCGUAAAGCGCACGCAGGCGGUCUGUCAAGUCGGAUGUGAAAUCCCCGGGCCCAACCUGGGAACUGCAUUCGAAACUGGCAGGCUAGAGUCUUGUAGAGGGGGGUAGAACUCCAGGUGUAGCGGUGAAAUGCGUAGAGAUCUGGAGGAAUACCGGUGGCGAAGGCGGCCCCCUGGACAAAGACUGACGCUCAGGUGCGAAAGCGUGGGGAGCAAACAGGAUUAGAUACCCGAGUAGUC